RNAcentral lists this ribosomal RNA (497 nucleotides) under uncultured bacterium. RNAcentral's name for it is "partial 16S ribosomal RNA". It matches the Rfam family "Bacterial small subunit ribosomal RNA", at positions 28 to 507 of the family's 1533-position model. The record is from RNAcentral.
GAUGAACGCUGGCGGCGUGCCUAAUACAUGCAAGUCGAGCGAACGGACGAGAAGCUUGCUUCUCUGAUGUUAGCGGCGGACGGGUGAGUAACACGUGGAUAACCUACCUAUAAGACUGGGAUAACUUCGGGAAACCGGAGCUAAUACCGGAUAAUAUUUUGAACCGCAUGGUUCAAAAGUGAAAGACGGUCUUGCUGUCACUUAUAGAUGGAUCCGCGCUGCAUUAGCUAGUUGGUAAGGUAACGGCUUACCAAGGCAACGAUGCAUAGCCGACCUGAGAGGGUGAUCGGCCACACUGGAACUGAGACACGGUCCAAACUCCUACGGGAGGCAGCAGUAGGGAAUCUUCCGCAAUGGGCGAAAGCCUGACGGAGCAACGCCGCGUGAGUGAGGAAGGUCUUCGGAUCGUAAAACUCUGUUAUUAGGGAAGAACAUAUGUGUAAGUAACUGUGCACAUCUUGACGGUACCUAAUCAGAAAGCCACGGCUAACUACGUG